RNAcentral lists this long non-coding RNA (369 nucleotides) under Echeneis naucrates (live sharksucker). RNAcentral describes it as "lncRNA (ENSENLG00000004404.1)". The record is from RNAcentral. Lineage: Eukaryota; Metazoa; Chordata; Actinopteri; Carangiformes; Echeneidae.
CAGGAACUCCAGGUCCCCCUGGCUCAACUUAUAUACCCGAUGGAAGUGAUGCCAGAGGUGAAAAAGGUGAGCGUGGGUAUCCAGGAGCUUCUGGACUGCCAGGUGACCCAGGGGACAUGGGCAUGCACGGACCCCCAGGCCCAGCAGGCUUAACAAUACCAGGUCUACCUGGUGCUCGAGGGCCCCAAGGUCCAAAGGGCUACAAGGGAGAGCCUGGAACAUAUAGCAACUUUGGAAUCAAUCCACUUCCAGGACCAAAGGGAAUGAAGGGACACCCUGGACCUAAAGGUGUCAUGGGCCAUCCUGGUCCUCCAGGUAUAGCUGAUUUCAUUGUGAUUAUUGCACAACACCAGAGUUUUCUGCAUUUCU